Long non-coding RNA from Triticum aestivum (bread wheat), 4131 nucleotides. RefSeq lists it as uncharacterized. The transcript has 2 exons. The record is from RefSeq and is a predicted model, not a curated record. NCBI's taxonomy places the organism in Eukaryota, Viridiplantae, Streptophyta, Magnoliopsida, Poales, Poaceae.
UCCUGCCCGGGCCUGAACCAGACCGCGCCGCCGCCCGCAGCUCCCCUCGCGCCCGCAAGCCGCCUCUCCGGCGACCCCAUACCUCCGCCACGCCCCGCCGCCGGCGAACUUCCAUGCUGGACCUCCGGCUGCUCCUCCACCUCGCCCCUCUCCCUUCUCCUUCUUCUUCUCGAUCUCCUCUCACCUCUCUCACUCUUGCUAGAAAGGGACCUCCAUGGCGCCGCCGGCCCACAAUCUCACCGGAACCGGCCGCCUCCAUGCCAAAUCCGCUGGAAAUGGAUCCACCCCGGCCAGAUCCGCCCGGAUCCGACCGGGCCCCGCCGCCGUCGCCACCGGAGCGCCGCCCCGCUCGACCUGGAACGCUACCUUCCACCGGCAGCCCUGGUACAGGCAACAAGAACUGGCUGAAGGAGAUCAAUCGAUGGGGGCGGACGGCCGCGACGACGACGGGCCUCUUCCUGCCCCAUAUAUACGUAUAUAUAAGUUUAUUAGGGGUAAAUAUACGUACAAGUGAAGAGCCAAAUAGGAUAUGAAAGAUUGAGCUUCUGUGUGUACUGAGAGCUAAGUUGCAACUCAAAUAUAUAUACUGUGAAUUUCCCAACUGAGGAUUCCAUUUAUUAUGUUGGUAGAAUGUUACUGCUCUUCUUUUAUGUAGCUAUAUUGCCCUGAAGUAGGUUCAUAUUUAGUGAAAGAAAAUCCCAGGCUUCAGACAGAUUAUAGUUGUAGGCUCCGUAUUAUUUUUCCGAUUUUAAAAACAGAAAGCAUAUGGAAUUUUGCUCUAUCAGGUAGCCAUUUUGUUGUUCAAUCCAUCCAUAGCUACAUUUUAAGAUAUAUUAUUGAAUUUCCUUAUUAUGUGAGUACAAGUCUGAACUUUUAGGACAUCCGGCACAUGAGUUUGAACCAACCAGUGCUACCAAUUUUUGGGUCACUACAUCAUGCAAUACUACGGAUUCUGUUCAACAUGGCAAACUUGGAUUUUUUAUUCUUUUUUCAGAUUAGAAUCACCUUAGCAAUGCCAUAUAGAUAAUACAAGAUGUGGCAAAGUGUUGUAUUCAAUAGAGAUUACAGUGAUAAAUUGGUGAAAUUAGUUUCCUCUCUGAUCUCUGUUAGCUUUAACUCGCUAGGAAGCCAUGUAGUCCUAUUUUUAGUACUAGGAGGAGAACAUAUAUUAAAUUUAUGCCAUCCGCUGAAUUGAUCUCUGUUGUGCUGGGGCAAACUAAACCAGAGCAAGCACUUACUCAAGGCAAGGAGCAGUGCUAGUACUUGCUCAUGGUUGAGGUAGAUUCAGGUUAAGUUUUAUGUGUUGAUUCCCUUCUCUUGCACAUGUCUAAGUCUUUGUGCCUGAUCAAGCUGUUCUUUGACAAGUAUUAUCUUUGAGUGAUGCCAUGUUGGUAAUAAAAUACUAUAUAACUCACAUUUCUUAUAUGUUCCUUUUUCAUUUCUGUUCUUUCAUUUGAAAGCUCAUAUGGUCAAUUUUGGAGGCAACUACAUGUAUAUACUGUUGAUGUUACAUGUAAACAAAUUUGAUGCUUUCAUGCAUAUGACCGUGCACAUCAUCAAACCCUUUCGAUUCUAUUGCAAGGUCAAAUAGUUUUUCGUGUUCUAACUCUCUGGGAUAAUCUGCGGUUAUUUGGUUCAUCGUCGUGCCUCAAGUCAAGUUUCUAAUAGCGCUGUGGCUGUACACCGUCGACUUCGCCGGAAAUCCGUCUACACAUACUCUACUGUCCGCCGAAACUUCGUCUGACCUGAGGUACAUACUACAGUGUCAUCGAUUUGUAUCUGUCAUCAACUACUUACUUCUUAAGUAUGUAUGUCGUCAAUUAUACUACUUAUUAAAAGGGAGAAAGAGAGGAUAUGUUAGAUCUAGAUGAAACAAUAGCCCUGUGAAAGAGAGGAUUCUGCUUUAUAUGUGAGUAUCUUGGGGCAUGCUUGUUUCUGUAUAAAAUGCAGAGGUCAUGAACGGCAACUGAUCUUGGAUUUGAGUUUCUUUUAAUCUUUAAAUGAUGUACUGGGCCAGCAAAUUCAGUUAUUUGGUUUUGUAACUUGUGGAGAAAAAAGAGAUAGGUGAGGUAGAGAGAGAGCAGAGAGAGAUGUGCACAUCGCCGAACCCUUUCGAUUCUAUUGCAAGGUCAAAUAGUUUUUCGUGUUCUAACUCUUUGGGAUAAUCUGUAGUUAUUUUGCUCAUCAUUGCGCCUCAAGUUUCCGACAGCGCCAUGGCUGUACACCGUCUGACUUCGCCAGAAAUCUGUCUGCACAUACUCUACUAUCUGCUGAAACUUCGUCUGACCUGAGGUACAUACUAAAGUGUCAUCGAUUUCAUCAACUACUUCUUAAGUCUGUAUGUCAUCAACUAUACUACUUAUUAAAAGGGAUAAAGAGAGGAUAUGUUAGAACUAGAUGAAACAAUAGCCCUGUGAAAGAGAGGUUUCUGCUUUCUAUGUGAGUAUCUUGGUGCAUGCUUGUUUCUGAAUAAAAUGUAGAGGUCGUGAACAAAUUAAAACAUGCUCUAUGAUGGGCAAGGGUAGGUUUAUUUUCAGUUAAAGUAGUAUCAGUUGUAUACUUAUAUAUACGCCAUUUGAAAAAUAGUAUGUAUAUGCUCCUUGCAAACUACUACGUAUUAUUUAAAUGUUUUACAUAAGACUGUCCAUCCAAAUACAAUAACUAAUUAGUAUUUUAAUAACUUGAAUUGCACGGCUUGAUCGCUCUGCUUGGGUCUUCUCUUAUGUAUGAGUGCACCAUGUGCGGGUUAAAUAAGUCUUCUAACUGUCUUGGCUAAUUUGCCUUCUGUUUUGAUUUGAGCUGAUGGGGAUGAGAUGUGACCCCGCUGCUGGGCGUCGCAAAUGCCACUGCUCCAAUGUGUGCCCCAGCUUCGGUGAUGCACGGGCGAGGCAACACGAUUUGGUACAAUGGCCCUCCUUCCAAGAAAUCAAGUUUUUUCGUUCAGAUUUUAGAGUUCUUGAGUUUCAGCUUAGUUCAAGGAUAGAAAAGCAUACUCCUUAUGGAUUCAAUGAGGAAGACCAUUAGCCGCCACCUUUUCAGAAUUGGAUGGUGUGGUGUACCUUCAUCCUGCUGUCUAAUUUCUUAGCUUAUUUGCUUUAACUGUACUACAGUAUAUAGCAGGAUAAGGAUCCAAUCUUGUGAAGCCUCUCCAUUUGCACCAUCGUCAAAAGUUGCACAUGAGUUGAUUCACACUUUCAGAGUUCAUAGAACACCUAGAGUUAAUCAGCCUGAAGGUAUAUCAGAUCCUAUGGAAAGGGGACCCGGUUCAGAUUUGUCACUACUCUGUGUUGUUGGAUAGCCAUGGUAUGUGUUAGUUUUGUUUUACCACAGUUUGAUUCUUGGUAGUUAGGAUAUCAGGUGUAUACAUUACUUUUCUUAUGAAUUUUUUCUCUUUUAGUGCACUAUCUAUCUAUCUAAUCUCUCUAUCAAAGUUUUCAAAGAAAUUGAUGGCGGUGGCUCAGAGGCGUCAUGGUGAAUGGCGAAGCUUCUAAAAUGGACGGAAGAGAGGUGGUGACUCGCGGCUGGGGAGUACAUAUUGAGGAAUACGAUUCAUAAGGUUUCAUAUUAACAAAAAAUGAUGAUCUUUGUAAAGUAAUCUGAACAUUUUGUUGAUUCCGGGACAAUUUUAUUCUCCAAUAUGAAUCCGUAAGAAAAUAUAUGACAAUACAUUUGUGCAAACUGAUAAUGUAAGCUCAUCUCGAAACUUUAUUCUUUUUCUAAGAUUGAUUUACUUGGUGGUGCUAACUUCCAUUCUAUCAAAGCAGGACAUGUGUGCUAUUUCUGAAAAAAGAAGCUUUUCUGUUGGCUGGCAUCCCUGAUGGUGCCUUUAGAUAUUUAGGAAAAGAAAUGGUAUCUCAUAAUUCACUGGAUGUAGACCAGUAGGGUCAAUCACAAAUUGUUGGCUGUAAAUGAAUUUCUGUUUCUAGCUUUCAUAAAAUUUAGACAAGUACUGUUUAACAGUAUGUUGUGGUUGAUGGUGGUCCUAUGUGCUGGUUCAAAUUAUCAUGUUGGAUAAUAUUGUUUUUACUAGCAGUUGUAGGGCUCUUAUUAUUAUUUUCCACAAAUAUCAUCAUGUUUUGCUAUUGAUGUAAUGCUAUAUUCCUUGACUGAAAUCAAACCCUUUAGUUGCUA